This is a long non-coding RNA of Lycium barbarum (goji berry), 590 nucleotides long. RefSeq lists it as uncharacterized. The record is from RefSeq and is a predicted model, not a curated record. Lineage: Eukaryota; Viridiplantae; Streptophyta; Magnoliopsida; Solanales; Solanaceae. The transcript has 2 exons.
AUUCAUAAUUCAUUUAUUGUAACCAGUUAGAAUUAAUUACUUUUGCAAUAUCAAUAAUAAUCUAUCUAUAUAUAGAAGCAACACCAUCUUAUCAAAGCCAGAAACAAUAAACUGAGAACAAAUAUGUCAGAAAAUAUGGCUAAACAGAUAGAAAGUAUUCCAUUGAUGAUAAUUUUGAUGCUAAUAUUGAUCUCUAACAAUUCACAUUUGGUAUUUUGUAAGUUGGAUCAAGAAUGUUAUAAGAGGUGUGUUCUUACCUGUCAUAUAAGUAGUCCUGAAUGUUUCACAACCUGUGAAAUAUUAUGUGACAAAUCUCUUAAUUAUACUUCUCCUAUGCGCAUGAAUUGCAACCUUGAUUGUUCAAUUCACACGUGUGCAAGUUUAAUCAAAGAUGACAAACAAUGGAGAGGUUGCAUGAAUGAUUGCUUCAACAAUCAUUGCAAAAAUUAGAGCUUAGAGGAUAUAUAGUCUUCAAAGCUUUGUUCCAUGAUGUUAGUUUUUGUAAGAUAAAAGCUAAUGUAUGAAUUAUAAGUGUCAACAUUUAAUAGUAGAUGUUUUUCUUGAUACUAUAUUUCGAUUAAUAUUCACAA